This 3234-nucleotide ribosomal RNA is filed under the name Distigma curvata. RNAcentral describes it as "partial small subunit ribosomal RNA". The stretch from base 880 to 3234 matches the Rfam family "Eukaryotic small subunit ribosomal RNA". Lineage: Eukaryota; Euglenozoa; Anisonemea; Natomonadida; Distigmidae. The record is from RNAcentral.
GUCAUAUGCUUUUUUCAAGGGCUAAGCCAUGCAUGUCUGAGAUCGCACGUUGACUUUGCUACUAAUCGGUCUGCGAAUGGCUCAUUACGACAGUUGCAACUUGCACGACAUUAUGCCACUGCGUGAGGUUCAUCUCAACUUCAGUUGGGAUACAUCGGUCUGCGGAAUCAGAGAAAAUGAUACGGAGCGUGAUCGUGACAUGCAAGAUACGACCUUUCUCCACGGUUGUGCCCAGAACGUUACUUGCCACAGCGUCUGUGUAAAACCAAAUCUAUGUGCAAAUGGAGAAGAGAAAUUGGCGUUGGUGUGCCCUUGUACGUGGUCCAUGAAAUCGCGAACGUUCCGUAUUAUCACAUUCCCUGUCGGUGUAGAAAGUGGGGAUAACCUCUUGAAACAGUCGGCCAAUACAUGUGGAAAACCGAUCUGUUAAAACGAUGGUUCGACCAAUCUCGUUUUGCGUAUCUCUCCGUGGGGUUCGCUCUUCGAGUAUUAUUCUGUUGGUUCGCAGUUGAUCGAUACAAAGGUUAUGCCUCAAUGUGUGCUCUGAAAAAGCCAGCUCGUGCGCAUCGUUGGUUGUGCAAUAUAGAGAAAUUUGAUCAUUAUUGCACACCAUUACGGGCCGAUGCGUCGAGCGUAUUCUGUGGUUUGGGAUUGUUGGACACGGAUUUGAAAAGCCGAUAAAUGUUGAAUCAGAUCAACACUGGAACCGUUUGUCGUUCAUUACGUUAUUCGACUGUCAUACAUGUGCUCGUGUUGUUCGGACCUUCUCAAGAGAAAGUGGCAUUUCCUCCUAAAGUGAGAAUGGCUUUGUUCCAAACGCGUUCGCUCGUUGAUUCUGUUCGAGCGUGUGUCUGUAUGACACGUGUUUGGCCAUCCCUCACUCUCUGUGUUCGGUCAGCUUGUCACGCAGAUGAGGUUUGAGCAAACGAAAAACCGAGCCGAACGGUUGAGUCACAGAAAGGUUGAAACCACGCGAUAGCAGUCAUCCUUCAGUCGUUUUUGCAAGGGAUAACAUGUGCAGAGUCGUAUGAGCAACUGCCCUAUCAGCCGUUGAUUAUGGUACAGAGAACCACGAUGGCAGUCACGGGUAACGCGGAAUGAGGGUUCGAUUCCGGAGAGGGAGCCUGAAAUAUGGCUACCACAACUAAGGUUGGCAGCAGGCGCGUAAAUUGCCCAAUCACAACGUUCUGGAUGAGGCAGCGACGAAACAUGGCACACUGUGUUGACCUUCUCGGUUGACCUGUGUGAAAUGGAUGAGAUCCUAAAUCAUGCAAUGAGCAUCAACUUGAGGACCAGUCUGGUGCCAGCACCCGCGGUAAUUCCAGCUCAAGUGGCGUACACUGAUGUUGUUGCUGUUAAAAAGCUCGUAGUUGACUGCCCAGGAUGGAGCUCCCUAGUUCGAUAUGUUCUGUCUGAUCCACAGCCGACCGGUUUGCGCUGCCUGUGUGGUAUAUUCUGUUACGCUGCACAACAGCCUUUCCUGAUGCUUGGUUCGGCGGGUCUUCUUCUCCAAUUCCUCUCUGUGAAGAAACGGUGAAGUGUGUUUCCCGAAGGACAGUCGUUCUACCAUCUUGCUCCAAUGUCCAUUAUGGCAGAUGUUGGGAUCAUGUUAUGGAAACGAAUUCUCUGAAAAACUUAUGUGUGAACUUCGUGUUUGCACAUGACCCGAUCCGUGCCGUCUUCUUAAACUCAACCGAUGUGCGUACAACGUUUUGAAUCAUAUACUGGAUUUGACAACUGAAAAGAGGGAUCGUCCGUGAAUCGUUACCGUGACCAAAUCAGAGUACUACAAGCAGUUGCGAUUUAACUCUCAUGGGGUUCCGAAUCGUGCGUUGACUGUAUGCUCAAGUGCGACAUGGCAAGGGAUCGUCCAAUUGGCAUCUUCAGGCUUUUCUGUUUUGCAAUGCCUGAUUCAUUGUUCUGGCAGUCUUUGUGAACCACUUCUGGAGAAUACGGGGUACGGCCGAGAAGGAACAUGAACCGAAGUAUAAUCGCUUUGUGCGUUUCUUCCUUCCGCUCCAAUUUGUUGGAGUGGUGUACGCCCUUAACCUUUUAUCCUUGUGCUGACCGAGGCUGUUGUAUGACGUGGGUACUCAUACGCGAGCGGUGAAAUGUUUAGACCGUAUGAGGACCACCAGAGGCUAACGCGCGCGUCAACUUCAUGCCUGCCAAUCAAGAACGAGAGUGUGGGGAUCGAAGAUGAUCAGAUACCGUCAUAGUCCACUGCUGUAAACGAUGCAAACUGGGAAACGGAUAUGCGUUCCUCCGGGAAUGUCGUGUUCGGUUCUUCCCACCCCUGUGAACGAGAAAUCCAAGUGUAUGGGUUCAGGGGGGACUAUCGUCGCAAGGCUGAAACUUAAAGGAAUUGACGGAGUGGCACCACAAGGCGUGGAGUGUGCGGCUUAAUUUGACUCAACACGGGGAACGUUACCAGAUCAGAUCGAGAAUGGGGAUCGACAGGUUGAAGUACUUUCAUGAAUUCCGCAGAAGUGGUGCAUGGUCGUUUCUGGUUGGUGAAGUGAUUUGUCUGGUUGAUUCCGAUAACGAACGAGGUCUUCCUCCUACAGUAGACCACAGAUGGAUCUCGUUGUAGGGAAAUGCGCAUUCGGAUCUCCUGGUGCAACUUGGCUUCGUGCUUCAGGUUGUACUACCGGAUGAGAUGCAGCCCGAGAGCUCAGUGCAAAAGCCAAUGCUUCUCCAUGAGAGCGGGCCCUUACUUUAUUGUUUAAGAGUCCGCAGACGGGAGCCGACAGCAGGUCUGUGAUGCCCUUAGAUGCUCUGGACUGCACGCGCACGACACUGGCGUUAUCCACGUGUAUUGGCCGUUAUACAAUGAAUUUGUUUGAGGUGUGUUAUGAUUCGAUGAGGUGUUUCGCUUGUUGGCUGCGAAGUCAGGUUUAAAAGGCAGUGAUUGGUUUUUGCAAAAGGAAUGUGUCUGAUGGAUAUGACGAACCGGUUCUGAGGCUGGAAUGGGUAAUCCCAUGAAUCUAUGUCGUGAUGGGGCUCGGUGCUUGCAACUGUUUACCUUCAAAGAGGAAUGCCUAGUACGAACAAGUCAUCAGCUUGUGCGGAAUGAGUCUCUGCCAUUUGUACACACCGCCCGUCGUUGCUACCGAUGAUGACGUGAUAAAGACCAGAAGAGAUUCUACAACUGGCAUUUCAGCUCAUGUGCAAAUCUGUCCAAUGUUAUUUCGUUCGAGGAAGCAAAAGUCGUAACAAGGUAGCUGUAGGUGA